AGGGUCAGAGAGAGAAAAUACAAACUCCGUACAGACAGCACCCGUUGUCAGGUUAGCACCCGGGUCUCUGAUGCUAUAAGGCAGCAACUCUACCGCUGCGCCACUCUGCUGCUCUAUCUUGUAUCUACACCCAUAGAUGCUGAUUGGCAUCCCUGAGUGUUGCUGCAAUUCUUCGUUCAGUGGUUUCCAGAUUCUCAAAUACCACUGCACUCUGCAGAGAAUGACGCUCCAGCAGCAGAAGGACAAUGUCCGGAGUUAAAGGCUUCUGCUCAAACUAGAUGUUGCCCAACAUGGCUGGAUCAGUGUUCCCAUAUCUGCCAAGGCGUUCAGGGAGGAUCACCCCCCACUGAACCUCAGUGAGGAACGGGCCAUUGGACAUCUGCACUUUGGUGGGGAUGCCAUUAAAAGGUGCCACCUUCUCCAACCAUAAUCCACCUCCCCUCUGAAGAGGUGAGGAGUGGCCUUAAUUAGCCCAGGCUAAUUCCAAGCGGCACCAGUUUCUCACGACAUUGCCCUCCUGCUGAUGCUUGCAGCCGCACAACAGUGCAAUUAGCGCUGGCUGCAUUCUGUGGCCACAAUAAUUAGCAGAUGGUACGGAAUUGGGUUAAACUCGCAUCCCGUUCCUUGUACCAGUUCUAAGGGGUUUUAGUGAAUUUAAUUUGUGGAUUUUUAAAACCAUCGCCUAUUGCGGACAGGGAUUUAAUCUCUUGCGAGUGCAUCUUUGUAUCAGUUUAAAACAAUGAGACAAAAUGUAAGGUCACAGAAUAGCAAAGGUUGAAAGACAGCUCAGUUAUAAAGUAGCCAAUCUUUCAGAUGCAGUCCUUUUAGAACUAAAAGAAAAUUUUCCACAUUACAUUGUCUCUCUGAGUAAUGUGGUACAUUUCGCUAAGUACAGUAAAUAUCUGUAUAUAUAGUCCUUUGAUUUGAAGGCGUAAUAACUAAAGACUCCUCAGAGAGGGUUUUAUGUCAUGCUGAAGUAUGAUUUAGUUGCACAGUCAGAAUAAUAGCCAUUUGUCCUGAGUUUCUGCACUACCUCAGUUGCCUUCCCACAAUGCCCUGUGGGCAUUGGGAAAUAAGAGUGGGUUGAGGCCUUGAUUUAGGCAGAUGGGGCAUUGGGGACAGACACCUGAGCACCGACCCAAAGGUGACUUUGCCUCGGGUCAGAGAAAGAUUAACAGAGUGCAUUUCAGAUCCGUCAAUGCUCAAAGAUGGAUCCUUCACCUUUUUACUAUGAAGAAGAGAAAGUGACCUUAAGGCCUGAACCCGCAUUUGUACAAAAGCUGAUUAUUGCAGAGAGUGACACGACAGGGUAACUACCUUCAGAUGAGAAAAGAAGUAUGAUCUUGAACCAGUGAAAUAAGGUCCGGUAUAUAAGGAGGAUGUCAGAUACAGUUUCUCUGUGACUGAGUGGAUCAUUAUUUUGUGACCAUUAUGGAGACAAUUUCUGUUAUGAAUUCUUCCAUUGUACAGGACGGGUGCAUUGAUAUGACUGUGUGCAUUUUGUAUCCUCUAUAGAAGUUGCAUUUGAUUACAAUUUGGUGGAGUUCCUGAACCCAAGUAUGAAAGACCAGAAAAAGACACAAAGUGCUGGUGUAAACUCAGCGGGUCAGUCAGCAUCUCUAGAGAACAUUUCAGAUGCUUCCUGACCUGUUGAGUUACUCCAACUCUUUGUGCUUUGCUCAAGGCCGGUCGAUGUGGUUAAUUUUCUCACCGCCUCUCUGACUGAUCUCCAAACAUGUUGGGCCUGAAUCAGGAAAUGGCUUUUGUGACUGAAUAAUAUCUUUCCGCAGUCCUCACAUGUCCAAACUUUAUAUUUUAAGGCCUAUCGUUUCUCCUUCAUCGCAGCAGUUAGAAGUUAUUUUUUUACAAGACUUCUGGCUCUUUACAACCAACUUUAAUGAGGCGUUGGCACACGGUGCUUGAGCUUAUUGAGAAUCCUGCUGCCUCCAAAUCUAUCUUCAGGGCAUCACUUGUCUUUCUCGGAUCCUUCUUGCUUUCCUGAAUCAGCAGCCCCGUGCAAAAUGGCCUUUUCCGGCCGCACAUGACAUGCCCUUCCACUUGAGUGAUAGUGAUCUGCUUCACAAUCCUGGAUCUUGAGCUUGGCUCACUCCUAUCAACUUUGCAAUCUUUCACCGUGAGUUUAAACAAAGUUGAUGCAAGGUUAUAAUCUUUGUUCAUCUCCUUGUGGAUAUUGUGACGAGAUAUUUUCAAAUGAUAAUAAAACAGCAGGCAGAUGAUGCAAUAAUGACCUAAUGCUGGUGUAAGGUUGUUGUUUUGCCUUUCAUUUCAUUUGAAUGUUCCCACUUUUACAACAUGCUUUGUUUGUAUUUCCAUUCACAUGUUAAGUUGUGGUCAAAUGUAGAAACAAAGAACUGCAGAUGUUGUUUGGCAAAAAAAAGACAUAAAGUGCUGGAGUAACUCAGUGGAUCAGGCAUCUUCUCGAUCCGAAAUGUCACCUGUCCAGGUUCU
Long non-coding RNA from Leucoraja erinaceus (little skate), 2469 nucleotides. RefSeq lists it as uncharacterized. The transcript has 3 exons. Lineage: Eukaryota; Metazoa; Chordata; Chondrichthyes; Rajiformes; Rajidae. The record is from RefSeq and is a predicted model, not a curated record.